AUGGCCGCACCUGCGGCAUAUGGAAGUUCCCAGGCUAGGAGGCGAUUCAAAGCUGUAGCUGCAGGUCUCUGCCACACCAUAGCAAUGCUAGAUCCAAGCCACAUCUCAGACCUACAAAGCAGCUUGUGGCAAGGUCGGAUCCUAACCCUCUGAGAAAGUCCAGAGCUAGAACCUGCAUCCUCAGGGAGACAGCAUCGGGUCCUUAACCCACUGAGCCACAACGGGAACUCCUAAGCACUUAUUUAAUGAGCAGAGAUUGUUUUCAAGAGAGACUAUCAAUAAGGAGUGAUGGGAGACAAAGAGUGCAUCUGACCAGCAUGUUUAAAACACAGGGAGAAGAUUGUUUAUAUUUAACAGAAAUGAGGGAUAUGCAAAACCAAUAUCAAUAAAUCCCCUUUUUUGUAGCUAGGAGGAAGCUAUUACUUAUUGAUUGAGGCAAUAGUUUAUUAUUUCAUUUAUUAAAUUUAUUUAUUAGCUAUCAUCACGUUCACAUACUAUCAGUUAAUAUUAGUCACACUGAAAUGUUUGUAGGACUUGAUCAACCCAUAUCAAAUUAAGGAGUAAUUAAGGGGUUGCUUGGAAAAUGGGAUCAUCAGUUCUCCAUCUCAAUAGUGAGCAGAAAAUAAAUCCACUUUCCCUAAAAGAAAUCACGUUAUUACUAAGGGCAAUUUACUAUCUAUGAUGCACCUCCCCUUAAAGGAGAUUAUAUUAUAAUCUUAAAUUUUACAAUAUUCUUCAUACAUUAGGUCUCAGACAAGAGGGCUCAAGUUGUAAUUAAGAAGAAAUAUCUAACUUUCCAAAAUUCAAUGCAGUCUCCUCAGGGAAGGCAGAAUUGGUUUUUCUUCAUACCAACAGUCUGACCCACCUGUUCCUUUUAGUGUUCAUUUCCAGAUAGUUUCUGACGGCAGGGUUAGUGGGGCCAUAUUUCUGCAUUCUUUGCUCUAACAGAGAGCAUUAUUGAUGGCAGUGGGGCCAGAGUUAAAAUCCUGUUAGAAUGGUGAGCUACUUUCAUAAAGGGUUCAGUGGUUGGGGGGUAUAAAAGCAAGAGAUACAUUUAAACAAUAUUUUAAUCCCAGGGGAUUGAUGGUCCUUCUUGACAAAUGUGAAAAUGUCUGAAAAUCAUUAAUGAGAUAGAACAGUUGAAGAUUAGGUGUCCUUGGUAUGAGAAACUCCUGAUCUGGCUAGUCCAGUUGAUAAAGACUUUUUCCCACAGACUUCUGAAAAAUAUCAUAACCCAAUUCACUCAUCCCAAGAUUCACUGAAACCCUGACUUAUUUAUAUCAUGGAUAUUUCCACUAGAACUUUAAAGUUAACUCUUGACCUUGUCAAGAAUAUAAUAAUUUCUCUAUAAACCAGGAAAAGAAACCACCGAUGCCACUAAAAUUGAAUUUGCUCUCAAAUUAGUUGUGAUAAAGCAAUACCAAAGUUCUUUAUACAAAGUAAGGUGCACCUGGUGUUGAAUGUUAGCUUAAUGUUGUUAUUAUUAUUAUUAUUAACAUUAUAGCAUUAAAACUACACCAAUUGGUUUAUUACUUAUUAGUUUAUUACUAAAGUUGUAUAUGCAUUGUUUUUACUGUUUAUCCAGCACUUUGAUAUUAGUUAAUUCACUUAAUGCUCACAUCAACAUUGUAGGAUCAAAGCUAUUCCCAUUAUGCAGUUAAAGCUAUACUGGCUCCAACUGUUACUAAUCUUGUUUGGAGUUACAGAGGCAACCAAGUGACAGAGUCAAUCCUGAAACCUAGGUCUUCCAAUUCCAAUUUCAGCAUCUUUUCUGCUAUACCAUGAAUUCCUCCCAUAACAUGAGUUUCUCCCUACCUUAAUCUCUUAUAAAACUCUAAUUUAUAGGGAAAAUUCCAACUGAGGAUGAAGAACAAGCAUCACACCAAGUACACCCACCCCCACUACCUCCUCCCAUUUCUUCUCCUCCUCAACAGCAACGACAGCCAAGUUGUCCCUCAAUAGUCAGAAGAAACAAGGAAAUUAAAGAAGGAGAUACUUUGAAAUAAAGAAAAUACAGAUAAUAGGUCUCACAUAUAUUUUAAAUGCCAUAAAUGAAACAAAUUUAAUGAAUCAGGAAACUGAAAAUACACGAAAAGAGUAAAACCACCUCAGUGCCCCUUUUUUCUGGCUAUUGUGUCUCAUGAUGGCUCUGCCUGAGGCUGCUGCUUCAUUCAAAUCCAAGAAAAGGACAAGCUAAAUGCUUUGAUUUUUAAAAAAUAUACUUAUGUGUACAAAACAAUAAAUAUUUACGCAAAAUUUAAAAAUUAAUCAAAAUAGUCUUUAAGAAGUAGCUUUGAAUGCCUCAGAAUUUUUUUUCCUUAGGACAUUUUUUUCCUUCUGUGAAGGCUAAUAGCAUUUUCAUAAUAUAUCAAUAUAUUUUUAGUUUUGACAUUUAUUUUCAUAUUUUAUAAAUCAUCCUAGAGUUAAAUGAUCUGCAGAUUUUUGGCUCUCUGUGGGGAGCCUCCCCACUCAAAGCCUGGCAAAUAAAGUGUAAAAAUCUUAGUAUUAUUAUAUAUCUCAAAUCGUACACACCAUUUGCAAAAAUUUUGACCUUUACAUUUUACUGACCUUUACAGUUGCAACCUACUAUAGAUAUUAAGAACAAAUUAACCAUUUUCGUAUCCCUAACCCCAACCCUCUGCCACUUACAAAGUAUGUGAUCAGAGGCAACCUCUUUAACAUAUCUGUGCAUCAGCUGUUCUCCAUAAUCAUACUAACAUCUUCACUGACCCAUUAUAAGGAUUAAAUAUAUUAUUUUAUAAAAAGCAUGUAAAAUAAUACCUGGCACUAACUACUUAACAACUUAAUUAUUAACGUCAUCAUCAUUCUCAUCAUCAUCAUCAUUAUUAUUAUUAAAGACGAAGAAACUCUCAAGGAGCAGAGAAGUUGAAAGUACUUGUUCAUGCAACAUAAUUGGUAGGGAGAGGUAUGUGAAUUUAAAUCCACACCAACACUUCAUGAAACAAUUAAGCAGUAGAUACAAAAGAAAGGUAUUGCUGAGAUUUUUCUUUCAAAAAUUUAAAGGUUAUAUAAGAAAAAAAUCACCUAUUAACUCUGCAUUUAUGAGUCUGAUUUAUUACAAGGCACUUAUACUUUAAAAUAAGCUUUAUGUUUUUAAGCCCUUAACCCUUAUAAAAUGAUUUUUUAUAUUUCCUAUUAAUUCAAUUUUAUUUUAAAAAUAAACUUAAGUCAAAGAGUAAAAUUAAUUUUUAAGUUAGCAAAGCAAAAUACAGUCACACUAAGAUGCUUCUUUCCUGUAUGUUCACUCAUUGCUCAAUGUCUAACUAAUGUUUAAAUGCACAUAAUGCUCCAGCCUGUCAAAACCUCAGUACUAUUCCCUAAAUGAGAAUAAAUAACUCACUAACCUUGAGCUAUAUAGUUUUGAUUGAAAAUAUUCUGAUUAAUCUAUCCUUGUACACAUUUUUCUUUUCAGUCUCUGAAACCACUCUGCACCAAGAACAUAAAAUCAUUUUCAUUCAUCAAAUAAUAAUUAUGCUGAUGUCCUCUAUACACUACCUCUUCUCCUCCUCGGGGAGAUUGGUUUAUGUUAAAACAUGAAUAAAUUUUUCUAAUACUGCUCAGAAAGGAAAUAGUGUUGAUAUGUUUAUAGAAGUAGGGAAAAUGGAAAUAAAGAUAAUAAAAGUUUACCUGGAAAUGAAGACCAAAUUUGUUAACAAAUACCAAAUUUCUGACUUUUUUUUUUUUUUUGGUCUUUUUUAGGGCUGCACCUGUGGCAUAU
Molecule: long non-coding RNA, 3739 nt
Filed under: Sus scrofa (pig)
Lineage: Eukaryota; Metazoa; Chordata; Mammalia; Artiodactyla; Suidae
Description: lncRNA (ENSSSCG00040000308.1)
Source: RNAcentral